RNAcentral lists this long non-coding RNA (946 nucleotides) under Theobroma cacao (cacao). RNAcentral describes it as "long non-coding RNA (TCAC_LNC000526)". The record is from RNAcentral. Lineage: Eukaryota; Viridiplantae; Streptophyta; Magnoliopsida; Malvales; Malvaceae.
UUCCAUAAAAUCACAAAAACGAAUUAAAAUUGACUUCAAAUAAUCAAAAUGAUAGUAAGGUUACUCACUGUAAUGGAAAUCGAGUUCCGAGUACUCCGAUUCUUGAUCCUCAGGUACUAUCUCUUUACUUUUACCAGAAUGCUCACCACCUAGACAUAAUGCACAAUAAGCCAUUUACUACAUUUGUACUAAAUUGUUAUAAAACUAAUUCAGGCUUUAUACUAAUGCAUGAAAUGGGAUGUAAAUUGUUCGGAUUAUCGUCCAAACACAGUGGUCUACACAAAUUCAAUUGUGUACCUAAAUAAAAUGGUAUUGGCCUAAUUCGAUCUAUCACUUAAUUAAUUGGCCAAUAUGUCCAAUUCAACUCCAAUAAUUCCAUUUUUCUCCCAAUACUUCAAAUCACCAAACACAAAUUAAAUAACUUGAAAUAUGGCAAAAUCAUCCUCACAUUUUCUCUUGAAAAAUUCGGCCAUGGUGGGUGCAUCAAUACUAUGAUUUUUCCUACCUGAUUUUCUCACCGUAAGUCAUCAUUUCCUAACCAAUUCACUUGAAAUAAAAUCAAAUCCACCAUCCACACUCUACAUGAAAAAUUCGACCAAUGAUGGGUGAUGGGAGAAAAUGAAUUUUUCUUGUUUGUUUUUCAUGCUACACAUCACUAACAAACUAAAAACACUAGAAUAUAUUGAAAUCUAACCAAAUCAAGCAUCAAAACUCCUCCCCCCAUGUCCGGCCAGCAAGGGUAUCCUCAUGCAAACUUGAUUCUAAACCAUGGAAAAUGAAAAAAAAUGCAUAGGAAAGGUAGAUCACAAGCUAGAAUUGAAAAAUCUUACCUUUUGUCACUUGAUUCUUUGAAUUUUCACACUUUUCUCUUGAAUUUUUCCACCUAUGGUUUUGUUCUUCUUCUUUUCUUCCCUUUUCUUCCUUUGGCUGGCCAAGAGAAAUGAGU